Non-coding RNA from Powellomyces hirtus, 72 nucleotides. The record is from the annotation of a GenBank genome assembly. NCBI's taxonomy places the organism in Eukaryota, Fungi, Chytridiomycota, Chytridiomycetes, Spizellomycetales, Powellomycetaceae.
GCCUGCUUAGCACAGUGGUAGUGCGUCUGCCUUGUAAGCAGAAGGUCAUGCGUUCAAUCCGCAUAGUAGGCA